Molecule: long non-coding RNA, 769 nt
Filed under: Homo sapiens (human)
Lineage: Eukaryota; Metazoa; Chordata; Mammalia; Primates; Hominidae
Description: HSALNT0391903
Source: RNAcentral
GGGAGAGCGGGCAGUUCUAGGAGGCCGACCUGGAGAGCCUCCCGGUUCCCCUUCCCCUUUUCCCGGACCCCGCGGGGACACCCCCUCGCCGCCACCCGGGCCUCCCCGAGGGCCCAACUGCGGGUCAGGCGGCCCGGGCCAGCCGAAAGGGAAGUGGGGCUACCCCACAGCCAGGCAGCGGGGCUGGGGUCAGACCCGGGAGCCGGAGGUUGGAGACGUGCGACAGUCACCUGCGGGCAGAUUCCAGAGGGGAGACCCAGGGCUGCAGGGGACGCCCCUUCGUGGCAGCUACCCAGCCUCGGCCCACUGCCAGUGUUACGUGGCUGCAUGACCAUACACUUCUGGGUAGAGCCCAGUGGAAGACAAAGAAGACUCAAGGAAUAGCCCUUGAGAUCCUGAACCAACUUUGAAGGCAGAGAAGUGGGCUAGAAGAAGUGGGGUUGGAGCCUCCACCAAGGACAAGAAGGCCUUAGCCCCCUGCUUCCAGCUCAAGCUGAAGUGGCUGUGAGCUGAGCUAAGAAGACCCCACUUCGCCAGGAGGAGUGCCUCACGCCUGUAAUCCCAGCACUUUGAAAGGCCGAGGCAGGUGGAUCACGUGAGGUCAGGAGUUUAAGACCAGCCUGGCCAACAUGAUGGAGUCUAGCUCUGUCGCCCAGGCUGGAGUACAGUGGCGUGAUCUCGGCUCACUCCAACCUCCGCCUCCCGGGUUCAAGCGAUUCUCCUGCCUCAGCCUCCUGGGUAGCUGGGACUACAGGCAUGUGCCACCCCG